RNAcentral lists this transfer RNA (73 nucleotides) under Halamphora coffeiformis. RNAcentral describes it as "Halamphora coffeaeformis tRNA-Gly". It matches the Rfam family "tRNA". Rfam says of the family: Transfer RNA (tRNA) molecules are approximately 80 nucleotides in length. Their secondary structure includes four short double-helical elements and three loops (D, anti-codon, and T loops). The record is from RNAcentral. Lineage: Eukaryota; Bacillariophyta; Bacillariophyceae; Naviculales; Amphipleuraceae.
GCAUGUAUAAUUCAAUUGGUAGAGUGUAACCUUGCCAAGGUUAAUGUUAAGGGUUCGAAUCCCUUUGCGUGCU